UACGAGGGGGGCAAGUGUUGUUCGGAAUCACUGGGCGUAAAGGGAGCGUAGGCGGAUGUUUAAGUCGGGUGUUUUAAAACCGGGGCCCAACCCCGGAGCGGCACCCGAAACUGGAUAUCUUGAAUAGGUCAGAGGCUGGUGGAAUUGGAGGUGUAGCGGUGGAAUGCGUAGAGAUCUCCAAGAACACCUAUUGCGAAGGCAGCCAGCUGGGACCAUAUUGACGCUGAGGCACGAAAGCGUGGGGAGCAAACAGG
This 254-nucleotide ribosomal RNA is filed under the name uncultured bacterium. RNAcentral describes it as "partial 16S ribosomal RNA". It matches the Rfam family "Bacterial small subunit ribosomal RNA", at positions 524 to 776 of the family's 1533-position model. The record is from RNAcentral.